ACGCUGGCGGCGUGCCUAAUACAUGCAAGUCGAACGGUCUUUCUAUGGAAGCUUGCUUCCACUGAGAAGAUAGUGGCGAACGGGUGAGUAACACGUGGGUAACCUGCCCAUAAGAGGGGGAUAACAUCCGGAAACGGGUGCUAAUACCGCAUAGUUUUCUUGAUCGCAUGAUCGGGAAAGGAAAGACGGCCUUCGUGCUGUCGCUUAUGGAUGGACCCGCGGCGUAUUAGUUAGUUGGUGAGGUAAUGGCUCACCAAGACGAUGAUACGUAGCCGACCUGAGAGGGUGAUCGGCCACAUUGGGACUGAGACACGGCCCAAACUCCUACGGGAGGCAGCAGUAGGGAAUCUUCCGCAAUGGACGAAAGUCUGACGGAGCAACGCCGCGUGAGUGAAAGAAGGUUUUCGGGUCGUAAAACUCUGUUGUCAGAGAAGAACAAGUUGGAGAGUAACUGCUCCAGCCUUGACGGUAUCUGACCAGAAAGCCACGGCUAACUACGUGCCAGCCGCCGC
RNAcentral lists this ribosomal RNA (512 nucleotides) under uncultured bacterium. Its description in RNAcentral is "bacterial SSU rRNA". It matches the Rfam family "Bacterial small subunit ribosomal RNA", at positions 33 to 518 of the family's 1533-position model. The record is from RNAcentral.